Molecule: ribosomal RNA, 253 nt
Filed under: uncultured bacterium
Lineage: Bacteria
Description: partial 16S ribosomal RNA
Rfam family: Bacterial small subunit ribosomal RNA
Source: RNAcentral
UACGUAGGGACCAAGCGUUGUUCGGAUUUACUGGGCGUAAAGGGCGCGUAGGCGGCGUGGUAAGUCACUUGUGAAAUCUCUGAGCUUAACUCAGAACGGCCAAGUGAUACUGCUGUGCUAGAGUGCAGAAGGGGCAAUCGGAAUUCUUGGUGUAGCGGUGAAAUGCGUAGAUAUCAAGAGGAACACCUGAGGUGAAGACGGGUUGCUGGGCUGACACUGACGCUGAGACGCGAAAGCGUGGGGAGCAAACAGG